Molecule: ribosomal RNA, 253 nt
Filed under: uncultured bacterium
Lineage: Bacteria
Description: partial 16S ribosomal RNA
Rfam family: Bacterial small subunit ribosomal RNA
Source: RNAcentral
GACAGAGGGUGCAAACGUUGCUCGGAAUCACUGGGCGUAAAGGGCGCGUAGGCGGACAAGUAAGUCGGGCGUGAAAUCCCUAGGCUCAACCUAGGAACUGCACUCGAAACUGCAUGUCUUGAGUACCGGAGAGGAAAGCGGAAUACCUGGUGUAGAGGUGAAAUUCGUAGAUAUCAGGUGGAACACCAGUGGCGAAGGCGGCUCACUGGUCCGCAACUGACGCUGAGGCGCGAAAGCGUGGGGAGCAAACAGG